RNAcentral lists this transfer RNA (76 nucleotides) under Chloroflexi bacterium RBG_16_68_14. RNAcentral's name for it is "tRNA-Thr". It matches the Rfam family "tRNA". From Rfam's summary of the family: Transfer RNA (tRNA) molecules are approximately 80 nucleotides in length. Their secondary structure includes four short double-helical elements and three loops (D, anti-codon, and T loops). Lineage: Bacteria; Bacillati; Chloroflexota. RNAcentral also lists the same sequence under 1 other name. The record is from RNAcentral.
GCCCACAUAGCUCAGUUGGUAGAGCACGCCCUUGGUAAGGGCGAGGUCACCGGUUCGAGUCCGGUUGUGGGCUCCA